AUGGCUGCCCAUCUAUUUCAGAACAUGCAGGAAAUGGGCGCUCUAAGCGCAGGAUGUUCCAACAAAUUUUUUCUUCAGUUCAUGCAAAUUGGGCCAUAUGAACUAGGCUGUGCUACUGUUAUUUACUUGCUUGAGGACUAUUUCAGACAAGUUAAUCUUGAGCUACGAGGGGAAUGGCCACUGCUAGUAAAAGCUAAUUUCCGCGAGCUGUGUUCAUUCAGGCAGUUUGAUUCAGAUUCUACAUUAUGCUUGUUCCCUUGGAAUCCAGGGGGUUAUUUGUUCAGAAUAACCACAGGGUUUCUUACUUCUAGUAGCGGUUCACAAUGGCAUGUUAUGUGUAUCAUUGCGGAGUCCAGCCAGCGCUUCUCUCAGAUUGCAAAAAGUGAUUGCUUGUUUCCAAUUUGUCUGAAGGUGAUGAUGUGGUGCUUGGUUCUACUAUCUUCUGCUGACAUUGAUUAUGAGCUGCGGCAUCGACCAGAUCAAACAAAAGAUCGUGGUGUGCUUGCGAAGUUCAGAAUAUUGCAUAUUUUUCUAGUUCCUUCAGUCAAGCUGCAACCAUGGCCUUCCUGCAGAUAUACAUUCACACAUUUUGAGCAGCAGUUCUUUCCCCAGUUACCUUUUCCUAGGACUGACAAAAUGCCAGACACAAGGCAACACAUGAACAUUUCAGUACAGUGGCAGCACCUGGACAUUAUGCUAGUUCUGGACCAGCACCUCGACAUUCCGAAUUCGCGGCUUGAUGUUUCUAACAAUUGUUGCUCUUUGUUGUGGCUCGGUUCAGAUUAUGUGCUCAAUUAUGCUAUGGAUGUGAUUGGGUCUGACCAGGGCAUCUACCUGUUGGACAUAUCUUGGGAUCCUGGAGGGAUGGCAUGGCCGUUGUUACCCGAAUUGGCUCAGUUAGUGGUCUUCGAAGGAGGAAAGUGUGUCAUCAUCUUAACUGCGGCCUACCUCGUCCAUGCCACUACAUUUCAUUUCGGCUACUACAUGGACUCCGAUGGAUUCAAGGUACAACAAGUUUUGUGGGAUCAAGGUGGUGUGAGCCUUUCAAGUCUUAUACAUCCUCCGGGGGGGCCUACCUUGGCCACAACUACUGCUGCGACCUCGUCGAAAUCCACCCCGGCUUCGGCUACCACCGUUGACUACGAACGCUUCUUCAAGCUCGUUCAAGUCCACCUCAACAAUGGUUACUACUGCGACAACUACCAUGGCGACUCCAACAUGAUUGAUGAUCUUCAAGCACCGUGGGAUCCUGGCGAGCUCUUCAGGACAGCGGCUUGGGGGCAAGCCGCAUUUCAAGGAGGGGGGAUGUUAGGAGCCCUCCUAACCGGCCAGCCCAUCCGUGGACAGCAUAUGGGCUGGGCUGGGCUGUGCACACGUUGA
Molecule: ribosomal RNA, 1380 nt
Filed under: Triticum aestivum (bread wheat)
Lineage: Eukaryota; Viridiplantae; Streptophyta; Magnoliopsida; Poales; Poaceae
Description: partial small subunit ribosomal RNA
Source: RNAcentral